This 236-nucleotide ribosomal RNA is filed under the name uncultured bacterium. RNAcentral describes it as "partial 16S ribosomal RNA". It matches the Rfam family "Bacterial small subunit ribosomal RNA", at positions 118 to 351 of the family's 1533-position model. The record is from RNAcentral.
UGAGUAACCUGCCCUUAACUCUGGGAUAAGCCUGGGGAAACUGGGUCUAAUACCGGAUAUGACUCCUCAUCGCAUGGUGGGGGGUGGAAAGCUUUUUUGUGGUUUUGGAUGGACUCGCGGCCUAUCAGCUAGUUGGUGUGGGUAAUGGCCCACCAAGGCGACGACGGGUAGCCGGCCUGAGAGGGUGACCGGCCACACUGGGACUGAGACACGGCCCAGACUCCUACGGGAGGCAG